RNAcentral lists this ribosomal RNA (442 nucleotides) under uncultured bacterium. Its description in RNAcentral is "partial 16S ribosomal RNA". It matches the Rfam family "Bacterial small subunit ribosomal RNA", at positions 338 to 795 of the family's 1533-position model. The record is from RNAcentral.
CCUACGGGGUGCAGCAGUAGGGAAUCUUUCACAAUGGGCGAAAGCCUGAUGGAGCAACGCCGCGUGCAGGAUGAAGGCCUUCGGGUUGUAAACUGCUUUUAUAAGCGAGAAAUAUGAUGGUAACUUAUGAAUAAGGAUCGGCUAACUACGUGCCAGCAGCCGCGGUCAUACGUAGGAUCCGAGCAUUAUCCGGAGUGACUGGGUGUAAAGAGUUGCGUAGGUGGCAUAAUAAGUAGCUAGUGAAAUCUGGUGGCUCAACCAUUCAGACUAUUAGCUAAACUGUUAAGCUCGAGACCGUUAGGAGUAACUGGAAUUUCUAGUGUAGGAGUGAAAUCCGUAGAUAUUAGAAGGAACACCAAUAGCGUAGGCAGGUUGCUGGGACGGUUCUGACACUAAGGCACGAAAGCGUAGGGAGCAAACGGGAUUAGAUACCCUUGUAGUC